Molecule: ribosomal RNA, 454 nt
Filed under: Amietia delalandii (Drakensberg river frog)
Lineage: Eukaryota; Metazoa; Chordata; Amphibia; Anura; Pyxicephalidae
Description: partial 16S ribosomal RNA
Rfam family: Bacterial large subunit ribosomal RNA
Source: RNAcentral
UUUAACGGCCGCGGUACCCUAACCGUGCGAAGGUAGCAUAAUCACUUGUUCUUUAAAUAGGGACUAGUAUCAACGGCAUCACGAGGGUUACACUGUCUCCUUUCUCCAAUCAGUGAAACUGAUCUCCCCGUGAAGAAGCGGGGAUAAAACUAUUAGACGAGAAGACCCCAUGGAGCUUUAAGCUCAACAACAACUCUUAUGAAAAUAAUUCCCCAUAGUAUACGAACCCUGUUUGUUAGCUUUAGGUUGGGGUGACCGCGGAGUAUAAUUCAACCUCCACGGCGAAAGGGUAUAAAACCCUAAUCCAAGAGCCACUGCUCUAAGAAUCUUUAAAUUGACGUACAAUGAUCCGAUUUUCGAUCAACGAACCAAGUUACCCUGGGGAUAACAGCGCAAUCCAUUUCUAGAGCCCCUAUCGACAAAUGGGUUUACGACCUCGAUGUUGGAUCAGGGU